This is a long non-coding RNA of Diceros bicornis minor, 180 nucleotides long. RefSeq lists it as uncharacterized. Lineage: Eukaryota; Metazoa; Chordata; Mammalia; Perissodactyla; Rhinocerotidae. The record is from RefSeq and is a predicted model, not a curated record. The transcript has 3 exons.
CAACAGCUCAGCCACGUUCAACUCCACUGAGAGGGUCCUGCAGAGCCUGCUGGAUCCUUGUUGAAGAAGAGCAGCCUGGGCCCCUUCUCCUUGAGUGGCAGACUGGUCUCCCUCAGGUCUGAGAAGGAUGGGGCAGCCACCAGUGUGGACGCUGUCUUCACCCACCACCCUGACCCCGUG